UACGUAGGUGGCAAGCGUUAUCCGGAUUUAUUGGGCGUAAAGAGAACGCAGGCGGUCUUUUAAGUCUGAUGUGAAAGCCUUCGGCUUAACCGGAGUAGUGCAUUGGAAGCUGGGAGACUUGAGCGCAGAAGAGGAGAGUGGAACUCCAUGUGUAGCGGUGAAAUGCGUAGAUAUAUGGAAGAACACCAGUGGCGAAAGCGGCUCUCUGGUCUGUAACUGACGCUGAGGUUCGAAAGCGUGGGUAGCAAACAGG
RNAcentral lists this ribosomal RNA (253 nucleotides) under uncultured bacterium. Its description in RNAcentral is "partial 16S ribosomal RNA". It matches the Rfam family "Bacterial small subunit ribosomal RNA", at positions 524 to 776 of the family's 1533-position model. The record is from RNAcentral.